UACAGAGGGGGCAAGCGUUGUUCGGAAUUACUGGGCGUAAAGGGCGCGUAGGCGGCCUGUUAAGUCGAACGUGAAAUCCCCGGGCUCAACCCGGGAACUGCGUCCGAUACUGGCAGGCUUGAAUUCGGGAGAGGGAUGCGGAAUUCCAGGUGUAGCGGUGAAAUGCGUAGAUAUCUGGAGGAACACCCGUGGCUAAGGCGGUUCUCUAGUACGGUACUGACGCUGAGACGCGAAAGCGUGGGGAGCGAACAGG
RNAcentral lists this ribosomal RNA (253 nucleotides) under uncultured bacterium. RNAcentral's name for it is "partial 16S ribosomal RNA". It matches the Rfam family "Bacterial small subunit ribosomal RNA", at positions 524 to 776 of the family's 1533-position model. The record is from RNAcentral.